Molecule: ribosomal RNA, 2885 nt
Filed under: Escherichia coli
Lineage: Bacteria; Pseudomonadati; Pseudomonadota; Gammaproteobacteria; Enterobacterales; Enterobacteriaceae
Description: 23S ribosomal RNA
Rfam family: Bacterial large subunit ribosomal RNA
Source: RNAcentral
UUAAGCGACUAAGCGUACACGGUGGAUGCCCUGGCAGUCAGAGGCGAUGAAGGACGUGCUAAUCUGCGAUAAGCGUCGGUAAGGUGAUAUGAACCGUUAUAACCGGCGAUUUCCGAAUGGGGAAACCCAGUGUGAUUCGUCACACUAUCAUUAACUGAAUCCAUAGGUUAAUGAGGCGAACCGGGGGAACUGAAACAUCUAAGUACCCCGAGGAAAAGAAAUCAACCGAGAUUCCCCCAGUAGCGGCGAGCGAACGGGGAGCAGCCCAGAGCCUGAAUCAGUGUGUGUGUUAGUGGAAGCGUCUGGAAAGGCGCGCGAUACAGGGUGACAGCCCCGUACACAAAAAUGCACAUGCUGUGAGCUCGAUGAGUAGGGCGGGACACGUGGUAUCCUGUCUGAAUAUGGGGGGACCAUCCUCCAAGGCUAAAUACUCCUGACUGACCGAUAGUGAACCAGUACCGUGAGGGAAAGGCGAAAAGAACCCCGGCGAGGGGAGUGAAAAAGAACCUGAAACCGUGUACGUACAAGCAGUGGGAGCACGCUUAGGCGUGUGACUGCGUACCUUUUGUAUAAUGGGUCAGCGACUUAUAUUCUGUAGCAAGGUUAACCGAAUAGGGGAGCCGAAGGGAAACCGAGUCUUAACUGGGCGUUAAGUUGCAGGGUAUAGACCCGAAACCCGGUGAUCUAGCCAUGGGCAGGUUGAAGGUUGGGUAACACUAACUGGAGGACCGAACCGACUAAUGUUGAAAAAUUAGCGGAUGACUUGUGGCUGGGGGUGAAAGGCCAAUCAAACCGGGAGAUAGCUGGUUCUCCCCGAAAGCUAUUUAGGUAGCGCCUCGUGAAUUCAUCUCCGGGGGUAGAGCACUGUUUCGGCAAGGGGGUCAUCCCGACUUACCAACCCGAUGCAAACUGCGAAUACCGGAGAAUGUUAUCACGGGAGACACACGGCGGGUGCUAACGUCCGUCGUGAAGAGGGAAACAACCCAGACCGCCAGCUAAGGUCCCAAAGUCAUGGUUAAGUGGGAAACGAUGUGGGAAGGCCCAGACAGCCAGGAUGUUGGCUUAGAAGCAGCCAUCAUUUAAAGAAAGCGUAAUAGCUCACUGGUCGAGUCGGCCUGCGCGGAAGAUGUAACGGGGCUAAACCAUGCACCGAAGCUGCGGCAGCGACNGUUGUUGGGUAGGGGAGCGUUCUGUAAGCCUGUGAAGGUGUACUGUGAGGUAUGCUGGAGGUAUCAGAAGUGCGAAUGCUGACAUAAGUAACGAUAAAGCGGGUGAAAAGCCCGCUCGCCGGAAGACCAAGGGUUCCUGUCCAACGUUAAUCGGGGCAGGGUGAGUCGACCCCUAAGGCGAGGCCGAAAGGCGUAGUCGAUGGGAAACAGGUUAAUAUUCCUGUACUUGGUGUUACUGCGAAGGGGGGACGGAGAAGGCUAUGUUGGCCGGGCGACGGUUGUCCCGGUUUAAGCGUGUAGGCUGGUUUUCCAGGCAAAUCCGGAAAAUCAAGGCUGAGGCGUGAUGACGAGGCACUACGGUGCUGAAGCAACAAAUGCCCUGCUUCCAGGAAAAGCCUCUAAGCAUCAGGUAACAUCAAAUCGUACCCCAAACCGACACAGGUGGUCAGGUAGAGAAUACCAAGGCGCUUGAGAGAACUCGGGUGAAGGAACUAGGCAAAAUGGUGCCGUAACUUCGGGAGAAGGCACGCUGAUAUGUAGGUGAAGNUGGAGCUGAAAUCAGUCGAAGAUACCAGCUGGCUGCAACUGUUUAUUAAAAACACAGCACUGUGCAAACACGAAAGUGGACGUAUACGGUGUGACGCCUGCCCGGUGCCGGAAGGUUAAUUGAUGGGGUUAGCGCAAGCGAAGCUCUUGAUCGAAGCCCCGGUAAACGGCGGCCGUAACUAUAACGGUCCUAAGGUAGCGAAAUUCCUUGUCGGGUAAGUUCCGACCUGCACGAAUGGCGUAAUGAUGGCCAGGCUGUCUCCACCCGAGACUCAGUGAAAUUGAACUCGCUGUGAAGAUGCAGUGUACCCGCGGCAAGACGGAAAGACCCCGUGAACCUUUACUAUAGCUUGACACUGAACAUUGAGCCUUGAUGUGUAGGAUAGGUGGGAGGCUUUGAAGUGUGGACGCCAGUCUGCAUGGAGCCGACCUUGAAAUACCACCCUUUAAUGUUUGAUGUUCUAACGUUGACCCGUAAUCCGGGUUGCGGACAGUGUCUGGUGGGUAGUUUGACUGGGGCGGUCUCCUCCUAAAGAGUAACGGAGGAGCACGAAGGUUGGCUAAUCCUGGUCGGACAUCAGGAGGUUAGUGCAAUGGCAUAAGCCAGCUUGACUGCGAGCGUGACGGCGCGAGCAGGUGCGAAAGCAGGUCAUAGUGAUCCGGUGGUUCUGAAUGGAAGGGCCAUCGCUCAACGGAUAAAAGGUACUCCGGGGAUAACAGGCUGAUACCGCCCAAGAGUUCAUAUCGACGGCGGUGUUUGGCACCUCGAUGUCGGCUCAUCACAUCCUGGGGCUGAAGUAGGUCCCAAGGGUAUGGCUGUUCGCCAUUUAAAGUGGUACGCGAGCUGGGUUUAGAACGUCGUGAGACAGUUCGGUCCCUAUCUGCCGUGGGCGCUGGAGAAUUGAGGGGGGCUGCUCCUAGUACGAGAGGACCGGAGUGGACGCAUCACUGGUGUUCGGGUUGUCAUGCCAAUGGCACUGCCCGGUAGCUAAAUGCGGAAGAGAUAAGUGCUGAAAGCAUCUAAGCACGAAACUUGCCCCGAGAUGAGUUCUCCCUGACUCCUUGAGAGUCCUGAAGGAACGUUGAAGACGACGACGUUGAUAGGCCGGGUGUGUAAGCGCAGCGAUGCGUUGAGCUAACCGGUACUAAUGAACCGUGAGGCUUAACCUU